Vitis vinifera (wine grape) is the source of this 803-nucleotide long non-coding RNA. RefSeq lists it as uncharacterized. Lineage: Eukaryota; Viridiplantae; Streptophyta; Magnoliopsida; Vitales; Vitaceae. The transcript is spliced from 2 exons. The record is from RefSeq and is a predicted model, not a curated record.
CAUUUUUUUUCCUUUUUAAUCUCCACCAACUAUUUCAAAAGUCAAACCCUAAAAGCCCAUUUUUCCCCAUUCUACCGCCCCCUCACAGCCUCCAUCCUUUCUCAUUCUUCUUCUCUUAUUUUCCUUUCUUUUUCUUUUCCUUUUUUUUUUCUUUCCAUUUCUUCUUUCUUCAUUUCUUCAUCGACUCCACCACCGCCAAGUUGUCAUCGGCGGUGCUACUAUUCGCACCACUUCCAAUCGUCAUCCCCCUCACUCUCCGACUAUAUAUUCCCUAUUUUUAUCUCUUUUAAGUUUUUAUUUUAUUAUUUUAUUUUAUUUAUUUAUAUUUAUCUUUGUUUUUUCUUCUUCUUUUAUUUUCUUUUAUGCACUGCCACAAGCGUGCCUCUGUCUUCAUUGUCACUCCCCAUGACCAUCAAUUGUUGCAUCUCUAUUCGUGGGUUAGGAGAUAGAGCGGGAAUAGAGGUGUAGCAUUAGUUGGAGGCAAGGCAUGAGCAUGAGCAGAAAGUUGGUGAACCUGAUUUGGGGAUAAAGGGACCAUCUUGCAACCAAAGAAAGGGAGGAGGGAAGGACGGUUAAGGAGGACGACUCUUUGGAUAUUUCUAGAAAAACUCUAUUUGUAUUUUUUUGCUUUUUUUUUAUGAGAGAUUUGACAUGUUUGUGGGUAUUUCUAAGCUUUGUUGAUGAAGUUGUGGAGAGGCAUUAGAUUUGGGAUUGCACUGAAAAUAAUAUCCUUUUAAUUUCUCAAAUAUUAUUUUCAAAUAUUUAUAAAAAUAAUGUAUAAAAUAUCAUAUUAUGAACUUGAA